This 69-nucleotide transfer RNA is filed under the name Eremias grammica (Reticulate racerunner). RNAcentral describes it as "tRNA-Glu". The record is from RNAcentral. Lineage: Eukaryota; Metazoa; Chordata; Lepidosauria; Squamata; Lacertidae.
GCUUUGGUAGUUGAAUAACAACGGUGGUUUUUCGAGUCGCAGGUCUUGGAUGAAGGCCAAGCUAAAGUA